AUAUCAUAUAUAUCAUAUAUACAUAUCACAUAUAUAUCACAUUUCUUUAUCAGUUGAUCCAUUGACAGACACUUAGGUUGUUUCCAUAUAAUGAAUAAUGCUUGAGUGAACUUUGGCUUAAAAAUUAUUAUCGUUAUUUCCUUUGGGUUUAUUAAAUAGCCAGAAGUGUGCUUGCUGGAUUAUGUGGUGGUUCUGUUUCCAAUUUUUUGAGGAACCUCCAUGCUCUUUCCGUAGUGGCUGCACCAAAUUACAUUCCCACCAACAAUACACAAGGGUUCCCUUUCUCCACAUCUUUUCAAUACUUGUUAGCUCUUGUCUUCUUGGUGGUAGACAUUCUAAGAGGUGGGAAUGUAUGUCUCAUUGUGGUUUUGAUUUUCAUUUCCCUGAUAAUUAGCGAUGUUGAGUACCUUUUCAUUUACAGUUGUGGACAUUUAGAUGUCUUCCCUGGAAAAAUGUUUAAUCAGCUCCUCUGCCCAUUAUUGAAUCAGAUAAGUUGUUGUUGCUGUUGUUUUUGAGUUGUGUAAGGUCUUUACAUAUUUCGGAUAUUAAUCCCUCAUCCAAUGUAUGAUUUGCACACUCCUCCCAUUCUGUAGGUUGCCUUCUCAUCUUGUCGAUUGUUUCUUUUGCUGUGCAGAAACUUAGUAGUUUGAUAUAAUCCCACUUACUGAUUUUUGUUUUUGUUGCUUUGCUUUUGGUGUCGUAUCCAAAAAUUUAUUGCUAAGGUCAAUGUCAAGGAGCUUCUUUCCUAUGUUUUCUUCUAGGAGUUUUAUGGUCUCCAGUCAUACAUUUAAAUCUUUACUCCAUUUUGAGUUAACUUUUGUAAGUUCUGUAAGAUAAGUGUCCAGUUUCAUUUUUCCAUAUGUGGUUAUUCAGUUUUUUCAACCACAUUAAUUGGAGACACUAUACUCACUGGGUGUUCUUGGCUGCAUUGUCCAAUAUUAAUUGACUAUAUAUUCAGUUGUUUAUUUCUGGGCUUUCCAUUGAUCUAGGGUUUGUUUGUUUUUAAUGUCAUAUUGAUUUAAUUACCAUAGCUUAUAGUCAAGUUUGGAAUCAGGAAGUGUGAUGCCUCCAGCUUAGUUCUUCUUUCUUAGGAUUGUUGUGUUUAUUUGGGAGUCUUUAGUGGUUCAGUACAAAUUUUAAUACUGUUUGUUCUAUUUCUCUGAAAAAUGCCAUUGAAAUUUUGAUAUGCAUUGCAUCAAUCUAUAGAUGACUUUAGAUAGGAUGGAAAUUUAACAAUAUUAAUACUUCUGAUUUGUAAACACAGGAUAUCUUUCCAUUUGUUUGUAUCUUCAGUUUGUUUCACCAAGUUUUUUAGUUGGCCUCAUCCAUAACAUGUGGGAGUUCCUGGACCCUGGAUGGAACCCACACCACAGCAGCAACCCAUGUUGCUGCAGUGACAGUGCUGGAUCCUCAAGCUGCUACACCACAAGAGAACUCCCAAAGUCUUCUGGUUUUCAGAUCUUUCAACUCCUUGGUUAAAUUUAUUCUCAAGUAUUUUAUUGUUUUUGAUGCUAUUGUGAAUAGGAUAUUAUUCUUU
This 1537-nucleotide long non-coding RNA is filed under the name Sus scrofa (pig). Its description in RNAcentral is "lncRNA (ENSSSCG00015019726.1)". Lineage: Eukaryota; Metazoa; Chordata; Mammalia; Artiodactyla; Suidae. The record is from RNAcentral.